Molecule: ribosomal RNA, 496 nt
Filed under: uncultured bacterium
Lineage: Bacteria
Description: partial 16S ribosomal RNA
Rfam family: Bacterial small subunit ribosomal RNA
Source: RNAcentral
AUUGAACGCUGGCGGAAUGCUUUACACAUGCAAGUCGAACGGUAGAGGGGGCAACCCCUCGAGAGUGGCGAACGGGUGAGUAAUAUAUCGGAACGUGCCCAGUCGUGGGGGAUAACGUAGCGAAAGUUACGCUAAUACCGCAUACGAUCUAAGGAUGAAAGCGGGGGAUCGCAAGACCUCGCGCGAUUGGAGCGGCCGAUAUCAGAUUAGCUUGUUGGUGAGGUAAAGGCUCACCAAGGCGACGAUCCGUAGCUGGUCUGAGAGGAUGAUCAGCCACACUGGGACUGAGACACGGCCCAGACUCCUACGGGAGGCAGCAGUGGGGAAUCUUGGACAAUGGGGGCAACCCUGAUCCAGCCAUGCCGCGUGUGUGAAGAAGGCCUUCGGGUUGUAAAGCACUUUCAGCAGGGAGGAAGGCUUUGGUCGAAUAGGCUGAAGUACUUGACGUUACCUGCAGAAGAAGCACCGGCUAAUUUCGUGCCAGCCGCCGCAGUAA